UACCCCGUCUCUACUAAAAAUACAAAAGUUAGCCAGGCGUGGCAGCACAUACGUGCCUGUAAUCCCAGCUACUCAGGAAGCUGAGGCAGGAGAAUUGCUUGAACCUGGGAGGGGGAGGUUGCAGUGAGCAGAGAUUGCACCACUGCACUCCAGCCUGGCUACAGAGCUAGACUCUGUCUCAAAAAAUAAUAAUAAUAAUAAUAGAAAUAAAAACCAAACAAGCAAAAACAAGACAAAAUAAAAACCAACCCUCUUUGCCACUGCUGGAAGCGGUUGGCUGCAUCACACCAACUCUUAACUCUG
This 303-nucleotide long non-coding RNA is filed under the name Homo sapiens (human). Its description in RNAcentral is "non-protein coding lnc-NPAS4-7:1". Lineage: Eukaryota; Metazoa; Chordata; Mammalia; Primates; Hominidae. The record is from RNAcentral.